RNAcentral lists this ribosomal RNA (811 nucleotides) under Escherichia coli. RNAcentral's name for it is "partial 23S ribosomal RNA". It matches the Rfam family "Bacterial large subunit ribosomal RNA", at positions 375 to 1191 of the family's 2925-position model. The record is from RNAcentral. Lineage: Bacteria; Pseudomonadati; Pseudomonadota; Gammaproteobacteria; Enterobacterales; Enterobacteriaceae.
GUACACAAAAAUGCACAUACUGUGAGCUCGAUGAGUAGGGCGGGACACGUGGUAUCCUGUCUGAAUAUGGGGGGACCAUCCUCCAAGGCUAAAUACUCCUGACUGACCGAUAGUGAACCAGUACCGUGAGGGAAAGGCGAAAAGAACCCCGGCGAGGGGAGUGAAAAAGAACCUGAAACCGUGUACGUACAAGCAGUGGGAGCCUCUUAAUGGGGUGACUGCGUACCUUUUGUAUAAUGGGUCAGCGACUUAUAUUCUGUAGCAAGGUUAACCGAAUAGGGGAGCCGAAGGGAAACCGAGUCUUAACUGGGCGUUAAGUUGCAGGGUAUAGACCCGAAACCCGGUGAUCUAGCCAUGGGCAGGUUGAAGGUUGGGUAACACUAACUGGAGGACCGAACCGACUAAUGUUGAAAAAUUAGCGGAUGACUUGUGGCUGGGGGUGAAAGGCCAAUCAAACCGGGAGAUAGCUGGUUCUCCCCGAAAGCUAUUUAGGUAGCGCCUCGUGAAUUCAUCUCCGGGGGUAGAGCACUGUUUCGGCAAGGGGGUCAUCCCGACUUACCAACCCGAUGCAAACUGCGAAUACCGGAGAAUGUUAUCACGGGAGACACACGGCGGGUGCUAACGUCCGUCGUGAAGAGGGAAACAACCCAGACCGCCAGCUAAGGUCCCAAAGUCAUGGUUAAGUGGGAAACGAUGUGGGAAGGCCCAGACAGCCAGGAUGUUGGCUUAGAAGCAGCCAUCAUUUAAAGAAAGCGUAAUAGCUCACUGGUCGAGUCGGCCUGCGCGGAAGAUGUAACGGGGCUAAACCAUG